Molecule: ribosomal RNA, 1456 nt
Filed under: uncultured organism
Description: 16S ribosomal RNA
Rfam family: Bacterial small subunit ribosomal RNA
Source: RNAcentral
GACGAACGCUGGCGGCGUGCCUAAUACAUGCAAGUAGAACGCUGAAGAGAGGAGCUUGCUCUUCUUGGAUGAGUUGCGAACGGGUGAGUAACGCGUAGGUAACCUGCCCUGUAGCGGGGGAUAACUAUUGGAAACGAUAGCUAAUACCGCAUAACAAUGGAUGACACAUGUCAUUUAUUUGAAAGGGGCAAAUGCUCCACUACAAGAUGGACCUGCGUUGUAUUAGCUAGUAGGUGAGGUAACGGCUCACCUAGGCGACGAUACAUAGCCGACCUGAGAGGGUGAUCGGCCACACUGGGACUGAGACACGGCCCAGACUCCUACGGGAGGCAGCAGUAGGGAAUCUUCGGCAAUGGGGGCAACCCUGACCGAGCAACGCCGCGUGAGUGAAGAAGGUUUUCGGAUCGUAAAGCUCUGUUGUAAGUCAAGAACGAGUGUGAGAGUGGAAAGUUCACACUGUGACGGUAGCUUACCAGAAAGGGACGGCUAACUACGUGCCAGCAGCCGCGGUAAUACGUAGGUCCCGAGCGUUGUCCGGAUUUAUUGGGCGUAAAGCGAGCGCAGGCGGUUUGAUAAGUCUGAAGUUAAAGGCUGUGGCUCAACCAUAGUUCGCUUUGGAAACUGUCAAACUUGAGUGCAGAAGGGGAGAGUGGAAUUCCAUGUGUAGCGGUGAAAUGCGUAGAUAUAUGGAGGAACACCGGUGGCGAAAGCGGCUCUCUGGUCUGUAACUGACGCUGAGGCUCGAAAGCGUGGGGAGCGAACAGGAUUAGAUACCCUGGUAGUCCACGCCGUAAACGAUGAGUGCUAGGUGUUGGAUCCUUUCCGGGAUUCAGUGCCGCAGCUAACGCAUUAAGCACUCCGCCUGGGGAGUACGACCGCAAGGUUGAAACUCAAAGGAAUUGACGGGGGCCCGCACAAGCGGUGGAGCAUGUGGUUUAAUUCGAAGCAACGCGAAGAACCUUACCAGGUCUUGACAUCCCGAUGCUAUUUCUAGAGAUAGAAAGUUACUUCGGUACAUCGGUGACAGGUGGUGCAUGGUUGUCGUCAGCUCGUGUCGUGAGAUGUUGGGUUAAGUCCCGCAACGAGCGCAACCCCUAUUGUUAGUUGCCAUCAUUCAGUUGGGCACUCUAGCGAGACUGCCGGUAAUAAACCGGAGGAAGGUGGGGAUGACGUCAAAUCAUCAUGCCCCUUAUGACCUGGGCUACACACGUGCUACAAUGGUUGGUACAACGAGUUGCGAGUCGGUGACGGCAAGCUAAUCUCUUAAAGCCAAUCUCAGUUCGGAUUGUAGGCUGCAACUCGCCUACAUGAAGUCGGAAUCGCUAGUAAUCGCGGAUCAGCACGCCGCGGUGAAUACGUUCCCGGGCCUUGUACACACCGCCCGUCACACCACGAGAGUUUGUAACACCCGAAGUCGGUGAGGUAACCUUUUGGAGCCAGCCGCCUAAGGUGGGAU